Molecule: ribosomal RNA, 450 nt
Filed under: uncultured bacterium
Lineage: Bacteria
Description: bacterial SSU rRNA
Rfam family: Bacterial small subunit ribosomal RNA
Source: RNAcentral
GUGGGGAAUAUUGGACAAUGGGCGAAAGCCUGAUCCAGCCAUGCCGCGUGUGUGAAGAAGGUCUUCGGAUUGUAAAGCACUUUAAGUUGGGAGGAAGGGUAGUAACCUAAUACGUUGCUACUUUGACGUUACCGACAGAAUAAGCACCGGCUAACUUCGUGCCAGCAGCCGCGGUAAUACGAAGGGUGCAAGCGUUAAUCGGAAUUACUGGGCGUAAAGCGCGCGUAGGUGGUUCAGUAAGUUGGAAGUGAAAUCCCCGGGCUCAACCUGGGAACUGCUUUCAAAACUGCUGGGCUAGAGUACGGUAGAGGGUGGUGGAAUUUCCUGUGUAGCGGUGAAAUGCGUAGAUAUAGGAAGGAACACCAGUGGCGAAGGCGACCACCUGGACUGAUACUGACACUGAGGUGCGAAAGCGUGGGGAGCAAACAGGAUUAGAAACCCCAGUAGUCC